Molecule: non-coding RNA, 112 nt
Organism: Glycine soja
Lineage: Eukaryota; Viridiplantae; Streptophyta; Magnoliopsida; Fabales; Fabaceae
Source: Rfam
UUUUUAUUGGAUGAUAACUGUCACACGUGUCAUGUUUGAAUAUCAAAUCUAUAGAACAUGACAUGUAACAGUCAUCAUCCAAUAAGAACAUGACACGUGACAGUCAAUAUUC